GACGGAGGGUGCUAGCGUUGUUCGGAAUGACUGGGCGUAAAGGGCGCGUAGGCGGCUCGUGAAGUCGGGUGUGAAAGCCCGGGGCUCAACCCCGGAACGGCAUCCGAUACUGGCGGGCUUGAGACCGGGAGAGGAGGGUGGAAUACCCAGUGUAGAGGUGAAAUUCGUAGAUAUUGGGUGGAACACCAGUGGCGAAGGCGGCGAUCUGGGAAGAUACUGACGCUGAGGUGCGAAAGCGUGGGGAGCGAACAGG
RNAcentral lists this ribosomal RNA (253 nucleotides) under uncultured bacterium. Its description in RNAcentral is "partial 16S ribosomal RNA". It matches the Rfam family "Bacterial small subunit ribosomal RNA", at positions 524 to 776 of the family's 1533-position model. The record is from RNAcentral.